AGACCGAUAGCUCAGUGGUAGAGCACCGCAUUGCGGUUGCCCCGGUUCGAUUCCGGGUCGGUCAC
This 65-nucleotide transfer RNA is filed under the name Halorientalis regularis. RNAcentral's name for it is "tRNA_Ala_CGC". It matches the Rfam family "tRNA". From Rfam's summary of the family: Transfer RNA (tRNA) molecules are approximately 80 nucleotides in length. Their secondary structure includes four short double-helical elements and three loops (D, anti-codon, and T loops). The record is from RNAcentral. Lineage: Archaea; Methanobacteriati; Methanobacteriota; Halobacteria; Halobacteriales; Haloarculaceae.